RNAcentral lists this ribosomal RNA (555 nucleotides) under uncultured bacterium. RNAcentral's name for it is "partial 16S ribosomal RNA". It matches the Rfam family "Bacterial small subunit ribosomal RNA", at positions 355 to 900 of the family's 1533-position model. The record is from RNAcentral.
UAGGGAACCUUCCACAAUGGACGCAAGUCUGAUGGAGCAACGGCCGCGUGAGUGAAGAAGGUUUUCGGACCGUAAAGCUCUGUUGUUGGUGAAGAAGGAUAGAGGUAGUAACUGGCCUUUAUUUGACGGUAAUCAACCAGAAAGUCACGGCUAACUACGUGCCAGCAGCCGCGGUAAUCGUAGGUGGCAAGCGUUGUCCGGAUUUAUUGGGCGUAAAGCGAGCGCAGGCGGAAGAAUAAGUCUGAUGUGAAAGCCCUCGGCUUAACCGAGGAAUUGCAUCGGAAACUGUUUUUCUUGAGUGCAGAAGAGGAGAGUAGAACUCCAUGUGUAGCGGUGGAAUGCGUAGAUAUAUGGAAGAAUACCAGUGGCGAAGGCGGCUCUCUGGUCUGCAACUGACGCUGAGGCUCGAAAGCAUGGGUAGCGAACAGGAUUAGAUGCCCUGGUAGUCCAUGCCGUAAACGAUGAGUGCUAAGUGUUGGGAGGCUUCCGCCUCUCAGUGCUGCAGCUAACGCAUUAAGCACUCCGCCUGGGGGAGUACGACCGCAAGGUUGAAAC